This 778-nucleotide ribosomal RNA is filed under the name uncultured Neocallimastigales. RNAcentral describes it as "partial large subunit ribosomal RNA". It matches the Rfam family "Eukaryotic large subunit ribosomal RNA", at positions 20 to 639 of the family's 3401-position model. The record is from RNAcentral. Lineage: Eukaryota; Fungi; Neocallimastigomycota; Neocallimastigomycetes; Neocallimastigales.
CAUCACUACGCUAGAUGCAUAUCAAUAAGCGGAGGAAAAGAAACUAACAAGGAUUCCCCUAGUAACGGCGAGUGAAGCGGGAAGAGCUCAAAUUUGAAAUCUUAAAGGGUUUCCCUUUACGAAUUGUAGUUUAAAGGAAGUGUUUUCUGUUGGAGUUUCGGUAAAAGUUCUUUGGAAUAGGACAUCAUAGAGGGUGAGAAUCCCGUAUUUGACCGUUACUUUCCAGCUGUGUGAUACACUUUCAAAGAGUCGGAUUGUUUGGGAAUGCAGUCCAAAGAUGGGUGGUAAAUUUCAUCUAAAGCUAAAUAUUGGCGAGAGACCGAUAGGGAACAAGUACCGUGAGGGAAAGAUGAAAAGAACUUUGAAAAGAGAGUUAAACAGUACGUGAAAUUGUCAAAAGGGAAGCGUUUGACACCAGUGUUGUUUAGUUGAAAAUCAAUUCAAUAAUUUUUGAUUCUAAGUAGUAUUGACUUCAUCAGCUUGCUGCUUUCUUUCUCAGAAAUUAUUUAAUGCACUUUUCAGUUAACAAGUCAACAUCAAUUUCUUUUGUUGUAAAAGGGUAAGAGGAAGGUGGCUUGCGCUUCGGCUCAAGUGUUUAUAGCCUUUUAUCUCUGCAAUCGGAGAGAUUGAGGUCUGCAGCGUAGAUCCUUCGGGGUUAGAUACAUUUGUGCUAAGCUAUAGCCUUGUAUAGACAACUUGUUGACUAUGCUCAGUCAUGUAGCUUACUCGCUUAUGCUAUUUUACCUACGCUUAGGAUGUUGACGCGCGUGUGUGCGUG